GCUACGGGGGGCAGCUGUGAGGAAUAUUGGUCAAUGGACGAGAGUCUGAACCAGCCAAGUAGCGUGAAGGAUGACUGCCCUAUGGGUUGUAAACUUCUUUUAUAUGGGAAUAAAACGUUCCACGUGUGGGAUUUUGUAUGUACCAUAUGAAUAAGGAUCGGCCAACUCCGUGCCAGCAGCCGCGGUAAUACGGAGGAUCCGAGCGUUAUCCGGAUUUAUUGGGGUUAAAAGGAACGUAGGUUGAUUGUUAAGUCAGUUGUGAUAGUUUGCGGCUCAACCGUAAAAUUGCAGGUGAAACUGGCAGUCUUGAGUACAGUAGAGGUGGGCGGAAUGCG
Molecule: ribosomal RNA, 335 nt
Filed under: uncultured bacterium
Lineage: Bacteria
Description: partial 16S ribosomal RNA
Rfam family: Bacterial small subunit ribosomal RNA
Source: RNAcentral